AUAUCAAUGGACUGUCUUUCCUAAUGUCUUUGAGUGGCUGUCCAUCUUUCACCAUCAAUGGGGACUUCUUGUACUCAAUCCUGGCCUGUCUAAGGCUCACCUAAUCGAUUACAACUUGCAAUGAACUUGGAUGUAAAAUAAUAAAGUCUUAUUCUUUCUUUGGUGAUGGGCAUCUUUUAUCAAGAUGUACUGCUUAUACUGUAUCUAAUACAUC
Molecule: long non-coding RNA, 214 nt
Organism: Amphimedon queenslandica
Lineage: Eukaryota; Metazoa; Porifera; Demospongiae; Haplosclerida; Niphatidae
Exons: 2
Source: RefSeq, a predicted model, not a curated record